Molecule: ribosomal RNA, 429 nt
Filed under: Actinomycetes bacterium
Lineage: Bacteria; Bacillati; Actinomycetota; Actinomycetes
Description: Actinobacteria bacterium partial 16S ribosomal RNA
Rfam family: Bacterial small subunit ribosomal RNA
Source: RNAcentral
UAGGGAAUCUUCCGCAAUGGGCGAAAGCCUGACGGAGCAACGCCGCGUGAGUGAUGAAGGUCUUCGGAUCGUAAAACUCUGUUAUUAGGGAAGAACAAAUGUGUAAGUAACUAUGCACGUCUUGACGGUACCUAAUCAGAAAGCCACGGCUAACUACGUGCCAGCAGCCGCGGUAAUACGUAGGUGGCAAGCGUUAUCCGGAAUUAUUGGGCGUAAAGCGCGCGUAGGCGGUUUUUUAAGUCUGAUGUGAAAGCCCACGGCUCAACCGUAGAGGGUCAUUGGAAACUGGAAAACUUGAGUGCAGAAGAGGAAAGUGGAAUUCCAUGUGUAGCGGUGAAAUGCGCAGAGAUAUGGAGGAGCACCAGUGGCGAAGGCGACUUUCUGGUCUGUAACUGACGCUGAUGUGCGAAAGCGUGGGGAUCAAACAGG